UGAGUGAAAAUAUAUAUCUUUCUCUCUACCUAUUUCAAUAUAUAUAUAUAUAUUACACCACACCACAUAAAAUGGAUGUCUCUCUUACAUAGUGGAAUGGAUCAGAGAGAAUUGUAUUAGAAGAAAAUUGUCCGUGGAGUAUGUAUGGAAGCGAUUCGUGAAUGCAAGAUUUAAAACAUGAUGUUAUUAUCGUGGGAUAUGGGUAAGGACCAUCAAUUGAAGAAGUAUCGAGGAACUGUCGCACAACAAAGAGCGAUAAAGGUAUAGUCUGACAAGCCUAGUGAUUCCAAGGAAGUACAACUGAAUAAGUUUGAUCAUGGCGGUGUGCUUUGAGCCUUGAAGGUAUUUGGUUGGAUAAUUACUAGAUGACUUGGAGGUAGCACUCCAAAUAUCAGGAGCUACCAUGCAACACACGUUUACCUCGACUGUCGCAUAUAUGUGUCUCGGGUUGAGUUUAGGGGGAUCUAUGAGAACAUACCAAUUUAAAUUGUCUGUUCACCGGAAUGUUGGCAUAAUAUCAAGUCUCAUAACCAAAUAUUUCAGAAUUAGAAUUGUACUAUAUUGUGUAGAGUCUAAGCUCAUUCACAUAAU
Cicer arietinum (chickpea) is the source of this 591-nucleotide non-coding RNA. The record is from RefSeq and is a predicted model, not a curated record. Lineage: Eukaryota; Viridiplantae; Streptophyta; Magnoliopsida; Fabales; Fabaceae.